This 115-nucleotide ribosomal RNA is filed under the name Gammaproteobacteria bacterium. Lineage: Bacteria; Pseudomonadati; Pseudomonadota; Gammaproteobacteria. The record is from RNAcentral.
CCUGGCGACCUCAGCGCGCGGGAACCACCCGACCCCAUCCCGAACUCGGUCGUGAAACCGCGCCGCGCCGAUGAUCGUGUGAGGUUACUCAUGCUAAAGUAGGUCAUCGCCAGGC